This 206-nucleotide ribosomal RNA is filed under the name uncultured eukaryote. Its description in RNAcentral is "partial 18S ribosomal RNA". It matches the Rfam family "Eukaryotic small subunit ribosomal RNA", at positions 1299 to 1458 of the family's 1831-position model. The record is from RNAcentral.
UGGUGGAGUGAUUUGUCUGGUUGAUUCCGAUAACGAACGAGACGCCGUCCUAUUAAAUAGUAACCGGCAACGUCUACCGAGUGAAGCGGCUGAUGCAGUAGGAUUGCUUCGCGGCAGUUCUGCUCUCGGCCGUGAAUCUUUGAUGCUUGUCGGGCGACUUCUUAAAGGGACUAUUGGGGUUUACCUUUGGAAGCGGCGCAAUAACA